Molecule: non-coding RNA, 77 nt
Organism: Picea glauca (white spruce)
Lineage: Eukaryota; Viridiplantae; Streptophyta; Pinopsida; Pinales; Pinaceae
Source: Rfam
AGAAGUCGUAUGAGGUGAAAAUCUCAUGUACGGUUUUGUAGAGUGACAAUGAAGACAACUUAUCAGUCAACUUUUAC